This 73-nucleotide transfer RNA is filed under the name Clostridia bacterium. RNAcentral describes it as "tRNA-Arg". It matches the Rfam family "tRNA". Rfam says of the family: Transfer RNA (tRNA) molecules are approximately 80 nucleotides in length. Their secondary structure includes four short double-helical elements and three loops (D, anti-codon, and T loops). RNAcentral also lists the same sequence under 1 other name. Lineage: Bacteria; Bacillati; Bacillota; Clostridia. The record is from RNAcentral.
GUCCCAGUACCUCAGGGGAUAGAGGGUCCGCCUCCUAAGCGGAACGCCGUAGGUUCGAUUCCUAUCUGGGACG